Molecule: ribosomal RNA, 546 nt
Filed under: Phrynobatrachus rainerguentheri
Lineage: Eukaryota; Metazoa; Chordata; Amphibia; Anura; Phrynobatrachidae
Description: partial 16S ribosomal RNA
Rfam family: Bacterial large subunit ribosomal RNA
Source: RNAcentral
GCCUCCUGCAACCCAUAGGAGGUCCAGCCUGCCCAGUGACAAAAUUUAACGGCCUCGGUACCCUGACCGCGCAAAGGUAGCAUAAUCACUUGUUCUUUAAAUAGGGACUUGUAUCAACGGCACCACGAGGGCUAAACUGUCUCCCCCCUUUAAUUAGUGAAUCUGAUCUCUUCGUGAAAAAGCGAAGAUAAAAAUAUUAGACGAGAAGACCCCAUGGAGCUUAAAACCCCCAUAACACUUUCUUCAACAUAACCUUAAAAAAUAAGACCCUUUGUUAACCGGUUUUCGGCUGGGGUGUCCAGGGAGUACAACUAAACCUCCAUGACGAACAUUUCCACUUACCCAAGAAUUACAAUUCUAAGAAUCAGCAAUCUGACGUAAUAUGACCCGAUACUCGAUCAACGAACCAAGUUACCCUGGGGAUAACAGCGCAAUCCAUUUCGAGAGCCCUUAUCGACAAAUGGGUUUACGACCUCGAUGUUGGAUCAGGGCACCCCUGUGGUGCAGCAGCUACUAAAGGUUCGUUUGUUCAACGAUUAAAGCCCU